AAUAUUUGUCAAUGGGGGCAACCCUGUCCCACCCCUGCCUCGUGUGUGCAGAGGUUCUUCUGCUUGUAAAGCACUUUAAUUCGGGAGGAAGGGCCUUAGGUUCAUACCCGUAAUUAUUGACUUUACCAACAUAAUAAGCACCGGCUAACUCUGUGCCUGCAGCCGCGGUAAUACAGAGGGUGCAAGCGUUAAUCGGAAUUACUGGGCGUAAAGCGCGCGUAGGUGGUUCAGUAAGAUGGGUGUGAAGUCCCCGGGCUUAACCUGGGGACUGCUUUCAUAAGUGCUGAGCUAGAGUACGGUAGAGGGUAGUGGAAUUUCCUGUGUAGCGGUGAAAUGCGUAGAUAUAGGAAGGAACAACAGUGGCGAAGGCGACUACCUGGACUGAUACUGACACUGAGGUGCGAAAGCGUGGGGAGCAAAC
Molecule: ribosomal RNA, 421 nt
Filed under: uncultured bacterium
Lineage: Bacteria
Description: partial 16S ribosomal RNA
Rfam family: Bacterial small subunit ribosomal RNA
Source: RNAcentral